This 1695-nucleotide ribosomal RNA is filed under the name Albula vulpes (bonefish). RNAcentral describes it as "16S ribosomal RNA". It matches the Rfam family "Bacterial large subunit ribosomal RNA". Lineage: Eukaryota; Metazoa; Chordata; Actinopteri; Albuliformes; Albulidae. The record is from RNAcentral.
GCUGAAUAGCUAGCCGAACAAAUUAAGUUAAAUGACCAACCAUAGAUAGUGAGUGUUUAGGGAGUUAUAGCUAAACCAUUUUCCCUCCUUAGUAUAGGCGAUAGAAAAGGACAAUUUGAGCAAUAGAAAAAGUACCGCAAGGGAAAGCUGAAAGAGUGGUGAAAUAGUUCGUCAAAGCGUGAAAAAGCAGAGAUUAAGUCUCGUACCUUUUGCAUCAUGAUUUAGCCAGUGAAAUCGAGCAGAGUGAUUUUUAGUUCGAACUCCCGAAACCAAGCGAGCUACUCCGGAGCGGCCUUGUAGGGCUAACCCGUCUCUGUGGCAAUAGGGUGGGAAGACUCCCGAGUAGAGGUGACAGACCUAUCGAGCUUGGUUAUAGCUGGUUGCUUAGGAAAUGGAUAUUAGUUCAGCCUUAUAUUUGCUUCAAUCAAUGGGUGGAUUGCCUAUUAAGACUAAAAGUCAGAGAUAAGAGUUAGUCAAAGGAGGUACAGCUCCUUUGAAAUAGAAUACAAUCUUUUCAGGUGGAUAAGGAUCAUAUUAUUAUGAGGUAAAUUGCUUUAGUGGGCCUAAGAGCAGCCAUCUGGAUAGAAAGCGUUAAAGCUCAAGUAAAAUUAAACCGUAAAUACUGAUUAUUACUUCCUAUUCCCCUAUUUUUACUAAGCUAUUCUAUAUGAAUAUAGAAGAGAUAAUGCUAAAAUUAGUAACAAGAAGAGAAUACUCUUCUCCUGGCAUGUGUGUAAGUCAGAUCGGAUCGGCCGCUGACAAUUAGCGAACCCAAACAGAGGGGCAUGUAGAAUUAAUAAUAAACUGGAAGAUCUUACAGCAGAGUUAUCGUUAACCCGACACAGGAGUGCCUAUCGUGGAAAGAUUAAAAGGGAAAGAAGGAACUCGGCAAACACGAGCCUCGCCUGUUUACCAAAAACAUCGCCUCUUGCUAAAAACAAAGUAUUAGAGGUCCCGCCUGCCCUGUGAACUGAAAAAUUUAACGGCCGCGGUAUUCUGACCGUGCAAAGGUAGCGUAAUCAUUUGUCUUUUAAAUAAAGACCUGUAUGAAUGGCAUCACGAGGGCUCGACUGUCUCCUAUCCCUAAUCAGUGAAAUUGAUCUGUCCGUGCAGAAGCGGGCAUAAAAACAUAAGACGAGAAGACCCUAUGGAGCUUAAGAUAUAAGAUCAGACAUAGUUAGUAGUUUAAACCCGACAGGAAUAAAGAGCUAGGUUUCAAUGUGUUGACUGAUCAGAUUGUCUUCGGUUGGGGCGACCGCGGAGGAGAAAAAAGCCUCCAUGUGGAGUGGGGAAAUACUCCCUAAAGCUAAGAGUUACAGCUCUAAGAAGCAGAAUAUCUGACCAUAAAUGAUCCAGGUUAAGGCCUGAUCAACGAACCAAGUUACCCUAGGGAUAACAGCGCAAUCCUUUCUCAGAGUUCAUAUCGACGAAAGGGUUUACGACCUCGAUGUUGGAUCGGGACAUCCUAAUGGUGCAGCCGCUAUUAAGGGUUCGUUUGUUCAACGAUUAAAGUCCUACGUGAUCUGAGUUCAGACCGGAGUAAUCCAGGUCGGUUUCUAUCUAUGAAGUGUCUGUUCCUAGUACGAAAGGACCGGAAAAGAGGGGCCCAUGCUACAGGUAAGCCCUACUUUCACCCACUGUGGGCAAAUAAAGUGGGAAAGAAAGCACGAUACUGCAAGCCAGAGAUUAUGGUAC